GCCCUUUGGGUGGCUGCUGCAUUUAAAUGGCUACCGAGAAAAGGCAUGUGCUUGGAAGAUCCAUUGCAAAUGCUGCUCGACGGGGCUGGAGGGGCGCGGUCUGCAAACACUGUCCUGCUGAGCCUGUUCAGGGACGAAGGCUCAGGCUGGCAAAUAUUAGCCAAAAUGUCCUGCCGAUGGCAAAUGCUCUGGAGGCCGACAAACCCUGGUAUACAUUUUCAUCCUAGUGAUCCUGCAGACAGGUUUGUAUUUGACAAACUUGUGGUUUUCUGCUGAAAAAAAGGUUAAAUCUGAACACACCUGCCUGGCUGUGCUCAUCAGGCAUUUGCGGUUUAGCAGGAACCUGCUCUUUAUCGACCUGCGAUGACUGAAAUGACCAGGUCCACGGACACGCCGUCUUUGUGCCACCCUGACUGCCAGCACGAUUGCUCAGGCACUACGGCAAUCUUAAGGCAGCUUCAGAAACAUACAGAACAUAAUUAAUUAUUUGCAGGGGGAGGGAAAAAGACAACGCAUUCCCUGCGGGACAGCGGGGCCCCUUGAGCCUCCUCUGGGGAAAUCGACAAGGGAAAAAAAGUUCUCGGCCGGCGGUGAAGGGCACGGCCCCGGCCGGGCUCUCCCGGGAGAGGUGCCAGCGCUGGAGGCGGCCUUUGCCCCGGCACAAACAGCUCCUUCAUUAGCGGAGGGACGCGGAGCCGGGGGAAGGGGAGCCGCCGGCGGCCCCUGCGCGUCCCCCGGUAACGCGCUGCGGCUUCUCCCGCUCCGCUUCCCGGGAGGGCGGCUCUUCCAGGCGGGACCGGGGGCCUUCUCCUCACCAGGUAGGGACCUCUCUGGCUCUGCAUCCUGGAGAUGGCAGCACCCAAGGUGGCGGUGGUUGGCGCCGGAGUCGUCGGCCUGUCCACAGCACUGUGCAUCGCGGAGACUUGCCCCAGCUGCUCCGUGACUGUCCUUUCAGACCAGUUCAGCCCCAACACAACGAGCGAUGUCGCAGCCGGGAUGCUCAUCCCUCACACCUACCCAGGCACACCGAUCCACGUGCAGAAGCAGUGGUUCAAAGAGACCUUCACUUACCUUUUUGCCAUCAGCAACUCAGCCGAGGCAUCAGAGGCUGGCAUUCACCUCGUCUCUGGGUGGCAGGUCUUUAAAAACACUCCCAAGGAAGAGUUACCUUUCUGGUCAGACGUCGUCCUGGGUUUUCGAUCAAUGUCCGAAGCAGAACUCCAAAAGUUUCCGCAGCACCAAUUUGGUCAGGCCUUUACGACCCUGAAAUGUGACUGUCCGCCCUACCUGCUGUGGCUGGAGAAAAGGUUGAAAGCAACUGGCAUCCAGAUUUCCACCAGAAAAGUUGCAGACCUGUGGGAGCUGCACAGCGAAUAUAACAUCGUUGUCAACUGCGCGGGCAUUGGAGCCCAGCAGCUGGUGGGGGAUGAGAAGCUCUUCCCCGUCAGGGGACAAGUACUCAAGCUCCUUACAGGCAGUUUGCAUUUCAUUACCUUGAAUAAACUGGUAUCACCAGCAGUCCAAGCCACUUCACCAUUUACCGCCCGACUGAUGGCUUAUAUGUAUUAGCACUGGCCCUACUACAGAUCCUUCUCAGAUGUCAUUGGUGACUGCUCUCCACUGUGAAAAACAGGUGAUUUAUACUUACCUCCUCUCUCUAUCCUAUGUAGAGGAUGUGCAUUUGCUGACUCAUGAGAGGAUCUUCCCUCUUAUCCCACGCCAGAUCAGCUUCUUUAUGAAUCCUUGGUGACAGACGUUAUCAAAGGCUUUCCAGAAGCUGAGCAGAUCAGACCGAGUGGAUCGCUGUGGUCUGCAGUCUCACAGUUUCCUCUGAAGCCAUAGGAGAAUGGCACGGAAAAUGUAAAUAUUCUGAAAUAUCUCCAUAGAUACAUAGUGACGCUGCCCUGUGCCACCUCUAUACCUGCCCACAAAGGGGAGUCACAACGUUUCGAUGCCUGCAAGCUGGCUCGCUGACACUGCCCGCUUGGCUUUGAGGCCACUGAAGUCUGUUGAGAUGAGCCCUCUCUCGCUUCAGCUGCCCAGCCUCGGGUGUCAGUCUCUGCCGGUAUCUCAUCAGCCACCCCGAGUUUCUGCUCCUCACCCACGAGCCGUGCCAGGAGCUGAAGCAAAGAUGUGACCUGUGUUGUCUCCAGCUCCCGCCGAAGCUGAGCCAGCAGCUGAAGAAUUUGCAAAACUCCAUUUUGAUCCUAAAUCUGUCCAUGCUGUUGCGUCGGCUCCAUAGUCUUCAUCUGGAAACGCAGAGCAAGGGCCAGGGAAACACUUGCAUGCGGGAGAGGGUUAACAGUGGAAGGUCAUUAAACCUCCACGACUUUCUGUGCUGAUGAAAGGUGCCCUUAAAGAAAGACUUAGCUGUCACCUGUGCAAAGCAUUUUUAUCCCUGUGCCGUUUCUUAAGCCCAUGCAUGUCCGGACAGAAGGUAACCGGACCGCACUUGAGCAUUUCCUUCUUAUCCGCACUUUCUGAUCUACAUUGAAUAGGCACUCCCGGCAGAUGGCAACCGAUCUGUCAACACUCAUGGGGAACUUCAAAGGUGCAAUUAUGCCAUAGGAAGGGAACGAUUAUAUUUUGAGACGUUUCUAUCAAUCCUGACGAUUGCAGACGGCAGAUGGGCUGUAUGAUGGAUUUUAGAGCUUGAGCACAAAGUAAUAGUUUUCUGCAAAAGGGAAUUUUGUUGAUUUUCUUUGCAGAAACAAAUCCAUGAAGAUAUAUUGUCUCGAUAUAGGCUUUUGCCUAUAUUUAAAACAAAUUUGCCAAAUUUCUGAGAAAAUACAGGAAAAAUUGGUGAAUACCAUUCAUUGCAAUUCUUUUCUAGUCGAGUACUAUUUGAGGUAAACUUCCGUGUGAUACAUUCAAAUUCAUUUGGAAUAAAUGUAGCAGAGAAAAUCAUAGCCCAGACCGAGAUUCGUGUCGUUUUCGCAACUAUCUUAAAUCAAUGCGUAUGUUGUACGAGGCUUCAUUUCAUCCUGCUCUAUUCCCUAUUUUCCACCAGAGGGAGAUGUUGGAUCAAGCAGUUACUGAAAGAAACCCACCCCCCCCAACCCCUCCACACACACACGCACUCCGUCUCAAAGGGCCAGUGCGGUGAUGCUGAAAUCAGUGGAAAUGUGGGUGCCUGCCGGGCUCCCACGUACCUAUAAGGCUUGGAGGGCUUGGGUGCUGCAGUAGGGGUGAAGACAUAAUCGUGAAUCAAUUAGAACCGUAAAAUGUCAUUGGGAUGCUUAAAAAAAAAUAACAAAAACAAAAACCGCAAAAAAACAAACAUUGAAGAAACAGAAAUGUAAAGGUAGCAGCACACCGGAAACAGCUGUUAAUAAAAAUGAGGGAUUAUAAUCCUAGACAAAGCUGUUGCUAUAGCAGCAUGUCCCAGAGCUUUUCCCCCACUGUCUGGCUGGAAGGGAAACCACUGUCCUGGACAGCCAAGUGUCCUCAGUUCCUCGUGUUGUGGGGACUUGGGGUCCCCCAGCCCCUUGAGCUCUGCCUGGGCUAGGCAUCCCCCGGGGUUCUCUGCGGGGCUGCAGCCUGGCCGGUGGGCCUGAUGCCUGGCCAGGCUCCCAGGCAGCCCACACACCACUCUUGGGGGCUCAGGUAUUAGAAACUAUCGCUGUUUAAAGGCUGAUCUGAAAUGGUCUGUUUUCCUUCUGGGGAUUUCCUCCCCCCUUCCCCCCCAGUCUGUUUUUCUCAAUGAAGAAGUCAAAGUUACAUAUUUUGGAGGAUGGUGGACAUGAGUCAAAACUCAGCCUUAGGAGGAAAGGGAGCAGCUGGGGAGAAGAUGAAGAGGAUAAGAAACUUUGCUGAAAGUGAACAAUUUCCUAAAACUGGUAUUUCCCGGGAUUCAAGGGAAAAAGAUUCAAGGGAAACUUUUUCCUGUGUUUUGUUUUGCCUCUGAGACUGUCUCACACCACUGACAGCAGCUGGCACUAGGAGAGCACUGUCCCACGUUGCUUUCCUCUGUUCCUGUUCAUGUCCACUACCUACCAUGGGGGACAAUAUUUUUCUCACAUUGUAAGAGGUGUGUGCCACGUGCAUCAUAUGCUGUGCUCCUCUCACUGUCACCUCUGCUGCCUUUUUAUGUAACUUCAUCAAAGUCUCAGUCAACCCGUUGAUAUCUAAGCCUUACAUUAGCCUUUACUUACAUUUAUGAGCCAAAGAGGGGAGGGGAGGCUUGUUUAUUUUCUGUAUCACUGGAGAAUUAAGCAACCAAAGCCAACUGCAGGUGUUUCUGAAGCACCUGCAUAUGCACCUGCAGUCCACUUUUUGGCUAAAGUGAAGGUCUGGAAAACAGCCCUUCCCUCAUGGAAUGCACUAGAGCCACAGAGGGAUCCUCGUGCUUGCUUUCCUCUUCACCAAACGAGUGCAGGGUUGAGCUUCAAGGAGAUGAAGACUGUCCUGCCCACACGCCUCGCAGCCUGGUGAGACCAGCGGUCUCCAGGUCGGUGGAAGAGCUGGUCUCCUUUGAGCAUGCAAGGAACUGGAUUUGGGCUUCUUGCUUCCCAUAUCGCUCAGACAGUGGCUACAAGAAGAGCAAUCCCAGUUUUAAGUGUGCUUUGUAUAAAGAAGAUCCUUUUGAUUUUUGAAAGAAAGGGCCUGAGGCACUGAAAGUCCAGGAGAAGAUUGUGAGAAACAGUGGUUAGUGACAACAUAAUAUUUCCCUGCAACUGAGUUUUUGAAAGAGCUAGGUGAUUCCGUAGCAGUUCAGUAGGAUGACAGCUUGAGCACAGUCAAAGCAUAAGUUAAGAGACUUUGAGACAAACACUGGCUACCCCGCUUCUGAAAAUCCCUCCAUAAGCCUUGGUGGGCAAGGUCCAUGCCUUUUUUCCAUUUGGGGAGUGUAUCUGCACAGUGUCAGCACUCCAGGAAUAAUCACGGGGCGAAUUGCCACAGAGAUUUGCAGCAUGAUAAUUGCCUCAAACAGAAGGAUAAAUAGCUUUUUCUGGCAUUUAAUGGGCCUCUUAAGUGAACGGCAAUAAACUCUAUGCGAACAGAUGUUUUCCCUCUUUUUUCGUCCUCUUGCAUCUCAUCCAUAAUUAUGCACUAAAAUGUUCUUGUCUGGGUUGCUGAGAGCAAUCUUGCCGCUGUUUGUCUUUGCGGUGUAAGGCUGAGCACUUCAGCACAAAGACUGAGCAAAAAGCCCUCGGUUCCUAAAGGCUCCUGUCGCUGAACAUCAUCUUUCCUUUGCUUUAAACCAGAGGGAGGAGUAAGGAACUAGCGGGAAAAUUUGCCUCUUCCAGAUGCUGCUCUGGGUUUACCACCACCGGGGUCCCUCCCUGCCUUCCCCGGUGGCCUGGGCUCCAGCCAGGAGAUUCCUGUGCUCGCCUGCCUUCGGGCAUUGACCCAGCUACGGCUCAGAGUAGUUGCUUCUCUUUUGCCUUGAGAGGGUGGUAAGUGCCCUCUGAGACAGUCCUGCCUGCUCUGUGCUGCCUCUGCUACGCUGACAGGACCUCGGGGAGACAGCGGGGCAGGAUUUCCUCCAUAACCACCAGCUUUGCCUCCAGCCUUGCCACCGGGACAGUUGCAGGCACUAGGCAGGCUCUGCAAAGAGUCUUUGCGCUUUCAGAAGCAUGUGCUUUACCUCCUGACAAGAGUACAGAGAAAUGACCUUGUUCCUGAAGAAAUUCACUGCAUCCUGGCAAAGGGAUCUUCUCCUAGCAAGGGGCACGCAAGCAAGACGGGAGCUGGGGCACAGCCACAAGCAUUAGCCCAGCUGAGUGUUCAUCGCCUGGAGUGAUGCCUGCAGGGGUGCCUGCAUCUUCACAAACCCACUUCAUCCUUCCCAGUGCGUCUUCAAAGAGUCUGGCUGGCCUCUGCUUUCCAUGUCCACGGCUGAGGAUAGUGGCAGGGGGCUUACAGGAAGGAUGGGGAGGGACUCUUUAUCAGGGAGUGUAGUGACAGGACACAGGGUAAUGGUUUCAAACUGAAGGAGGGUAGAUUUAGAUUGGAUAUUAGGAAGAAAUUCUUUACUGUGAGGGUGGUGGGGCACUGGAACAGGUUGCCCAGGGAGGUUGUGGAUGCCCCAUCCCUGGAAGUGUUCAAGGCCAGGCUGGAUGGGGCUUUGAGCAGCUUGGUCUAGUGGGAGGUGUCCCUGCCCAUGGCAGGGGGGUUGGAACUAGAUGAUCUUUAAGGUCCCUUCCAACCUGAACCCUUCUAUGA
RNA transcript from Chroicocephalus ridibundus (black-headed gull), 6168 nucleotides. It is a transcript of the gene named D-aspartate oxidase, with no coding region annotated. Lineage: Eukaryota; Metazoa; Chordata; Aves; Charadriiformes; Laridae. The transcript has 7 exons. The record is from RefSeq and is a predicted model, not a curated record.